CCCCAGUGGCGGGUAAUUCCUUUGAAUUGAUCUUACAUGCAAAUACUGCCCGUUUUUAAAAGUCGACGUGCAGCUGCAGCCUCUCACAUAAGCGAAAAAAGGCAUCUUUUCUGCAAUCACUGCAACAUUAUAGCAGGUUUUUGAAUAGGAUCCACUAUAUGUAGUAAUAGCAGACAGGCACUUGAUGAAUUACACGUGUCUGUCCUUCUUACUUCCCAGGCCCAGAGGACAGAACCGCCGCCUCAGCAGAAACGUGAAAUAUUCACGACUGGUCCGUAACGAGCUGGACAUGAAACGCUCCUCUUGGCCUCCCGGCCCACACAUUCCACGCGCAGGAAUCAAGCUAAACGCUUGUUGUUCUUCCCGCUGUGGCGAAGUUGGCAGUGAACUUUUGCCAGCGUUUGACUUUGCUCUCCCCUCCUUGUUCCUUUGCCUUGUUUGCUCUUUGUCAGCGUGUCAGAAUAAUGAGGGCAAGAGAAACGCUGCGGAGAAGCGACGGCCAGCUCAGUGCCCCGCAUGAAUAUUCAGUCCCCGCAUAUGGCGCCGCGCACGAGGAUCUGCAUUCACUCGCAGGCACUAAUUAGGAUGCCCGGUUUGAAAGGAAGCGGCUGCGGUUGCUGUCAAAGAGCCUCCCGGGCUUAGUUAGGAGUUUUUCUCCACUCGAAAAAAAAGGGGAAACCAGGGAGGAGGAGGAGGAGGAGGAAGUGGAUUAUCUAAGUGUGGACUGACCUGUGAGGAGACACUGAGGAGCUUUUAUUAGGGAGAGAGAGAGAGAGAGAAUGUCACGUCACGUCAUGGAUCACCGAGCUCCCUUUUUUAAAGGGUAAUACUUUGGUUUGUUGUGUUUUUGAGUUUGUUUCAGGUUCAUCUCUGCUUGCAGAUAUCAGAGCAUUUUUUUUACUCUUGAUCAGGAUGAAUAACAACACCCACAGACAGGAACGAGCAACCAAAGUAAACACGGCGAAUCUCUGUUCGUUAUCUUACAUUCAGAAGUGUUUUCAUUUCAGUCCAAUUACGGAAUAAUUUGGAACAUAUUGCAAUGUAACGUGAUCCAACCGCGACAAUGCACCAAAUUACACGCUGCGAAGGGACUCGGAUGACAGAAGAAUAGAAAUAAGCUCCACACGGGUGCUGUUCAUUCCCGGGGAAAGUGUUGCAUAACAACACAUUCGUGCUGUUUUGUCCAGAACGUGUUCAUGCGCUCAGUCACAUGAAAUGAAUACAAGCUAUUCCAGGAAAUAAUCUAUAAAGGAAAUGUUUCCCAUCACUUCUUCUGUCCCGCGACAGAUUUGUGUCACUGCAGGAACAUUAUUACUCCCACCACCUAAAUAAAUAAAUAAAAAAGCCUGACUCGCGAUAAUACCAACAGCACAACACGAGUGGAUGUUGUGUAAGUGGUGGAGAAAAAUGGGACAGCUUGAUUGGUGUGGGAGUGCUUGGAGAUUAAAGAGGACGGCAGUGUCAACUUUGCACAAGAUGAUUGGCGCUUGCGAAGGAGAGAUAACUGUGCGCGUCCCGGGCCCGCGGCGCUCUCUUGCACGGGUCACAACAGUCUGUAAUUAAAGUAAAUAUUGUGGCGAGUGUGAGGAAAUACUCAAAUCAAAGCAUCCAAGCUCCAUAGUAAUGUUCAUUCCUGGACAUUUAGCAUGCUUCAGCAUCCCGCUGUUUCGAUGCAGCGGCCUCGCUGAGAGCAGUGAGGGGGCAGCGAAGGGUUUGUUGUGUUCAUCACGAUCUGCACGCAGCCUCACUGGCCCUCAACAAGGGUUCCGAGUGGGAGCCACGCAUUCUGCAUCCAGAGGCCAUUAAAAAAUAUUGUACAUCGUGCAAUAUUCUUAAAUGUAUUCCAAACAAAUAUAGCAAUGAGGAAAAAAAAUUGACACAGACAGAAAAAUAUGCAUGUUCCCUAAAUAGCGUUGGCACUCCGGGUCUGGUGAUGCAUUCAGGAAUCAGGAAUCAGGAAACAUUUAUUGCCAAAAUAUGUCAAACAUACAAGGAAUUUGACUUGGCGGUUGGUGCGCGACAGUAGACAGUGUGACAAUAGACAACAAGACAGCAGUGCACAAGUAAUAAAAUAUAAUGCUAUGGGUUAGUAGAAUAAGGCUAUGGGUUAGUAUAAAAUAAGAGAAUAAAGUUAAAGUUAAACAUAUUUAAAAGGUUAAAAAACAUUAAAAAAUAAAGUGCACUAGCGAACAAGUGACAAAGUGACGAGUGACGACAAAGAGAAGAAACUGUUUAUGUGGCGGGAGGUCUUAGUCCUGAUGGACCUCAGCCUCCUGCCAGAUGGAAGGGGCACAAACAGUUUUUGUCCGGGGUGAGAUGGGUCGGCCACCAUCUUUUUAGCUCGCUUCAGAGACCUGGAAGCGAACAAGUCCUGCAGGGACGGCAGAUUGCAGCCGAUCAGCCUCUCUGCAGAGCGGAUGACCCGCUGAAGCCUGCCCUCGUCCUUGGCUGUGGCUGCAGCGUACCAGACGGUGAUGGAGGAGCAGAGGAUGGACUCCAUGAUGGCCGUGUAGAAGUGCACCAUCAUCGUCUUUGGCAGGUUGAAUUCCUUCAGCUGCCUCAGGAAGAACAACAUCUGCUACAACCUCACUUGUUUUAUACAAUUGUUUGCCUGUGCGUGUGUGUGUGUGUGUGUGUGUGUGUGUGUGCGCGCCGCUCGGCCCGUCCCAAAAGUGCAGUUAGUGGAGUGUAAAGUGGUGACCACAUCCUGACUCUGAGGUGGCCUCAUCGGAGGGAACCGACCCGUCCGGCUCUCAGGAUGAGUUAAAGUUUUGCCCUGCUGUAAAUAUCCGGCGAGCCACUAAAUAGCUGUUUGGUGGUUUGAGGCGGACGAAUCUCCUUCCUGCUGAUAAAGUAUCUCUAAGAGUCGUCAUUCAUGAGGACAACAACGCAAACCCAGGCGUGGACCGAGUCCAAGACCGCAGCCAGUGUAAGGGGACACUGCCUGUAUAACUACCACAGAUCUUCAUCGCGUAAACAGGCGUCUGCGUGUUUCACGAAUGUUGCUAAAUACGAUUUCAAAGGUUUCUUCGGUUGGAAUGAAUUCAUGAAAAUCAUUAACUUUAUUUACUGACCAAUAUGCCAGAGGACAGCUCAUGUUUAUUGGCAGCUAGCUGGGAAGCACAGAACAGUUUUAUUUUUGCAUCAUGGCCAUGCGGCUCUCCAAUGUUGCAGGAGAUGUUGUUUGUGUUUGUGGAGCUGGACUCCUGUGCUGAGCUCUGGGCAAAGCUAACCCUGAUGUCAGAAUGUCCUAAAUAAGCGUUCCGAGGCCACAUGUUGUAAACCGCCGCGUAAACACAGCCAGCGGUGGGGCAGCUGUGCUCCAACAAGAAGGUUUAAACCUCUCUGAGGGCCCAAACACCCACACCGAGUUAACAAUCCAGGUAAACAAAGGUACGACUGUCCUGCCCAACGAGGAGCCCGCUGCCAAACGCUGAAGCAUUUAAUCGAGGGAUGGGAUUCAGGCGGCUGAUCAACACGUCCAUAUGGCGGCUUAAUGGAUUCGCCCACAAUCGAGCGAGUUUACCUCUGGAAACAAAGAGCCUCUCAGUUGGAAAGCCUUCAGCGUGCGCGCUGUUGAUACAGAGACCUUCUCGGGGAAUGGAUGCCGGCGAUAUCUGAGCCGUGGGCUUAAUCCUGCGUGAGUGGUGCUGCAUGUAGAGUUUGGAGCAUGAUGAAGUGACUGUUCUCACGCACACACACACACACACACACAUACACGCAGUUUCCAUUACUUUAGAGGACAUUGCAUUGACCUCCAGCUAUUUCCCGGAGACUUAGUCUAACCCUAAUCGCUUCUUGCCUUGUCCCAACCUCACCACAGCCUUAAACCGAGUAUAAUGAGUUAAGUCUUGCGUAAACACAACACAAUGAGUAAUAGAUGCCCACACAGUACGGUUUAGCGUUGGAGCAGUAGAAGUAGACAAUACAACGGUCUUGGAUCAGAAUUUUUCCGUAACUUUUUCUGAUUUACUGUCAUUUUGAUUUAUUCAAUGCUUCGUAGUCACAGAAAUAAUCUUCAACCGUGCAAAUAAAACACGAGGAAUGAACCAAUAACUGCUCCAUUAAUGAAACACGUUGCAGUUUUGUGGCACCUUUCAGUCCCUCAAAUGUGAUAAAAUAACAAAUAUUUAAUCAAUCGGGGCUUUGACUGAAAUAAAAUAAGAGAACAAACCUCUAGCUGAAAUGAGUUAUUCGAAUCAUCUGUUCAUAUGCAAAUUAUUUUUUUGAUGGAAAAUGAAGCCAAAAUUCCAUCACAUUUCCCCAGAUCUAAGUCAGUAUCUCUAAGUAGGUUUUUCUGGUCCAAAAUUCAAAGAUUUUAAAUUAAAAUCACAUAAACUAAAAGGAAAGUAACAAAUCCGGAAAAAUUAGCAGUUGUAAAAGGAGUUGUUUGUUCAUUCACAAUCAAGAUUUAUAUAUCUAUUUAAAAAAUAUAUGUUUUUCCUCCUUCUCUGGGCCGUUGAUGAAUUUGCAUAUGAAUGAAUAUAGACGUAUAAAUAAUAUCAUUUAAGUAUUUGAUUUAGAACCUUUUACCCGAUCCCACCAGCUGCAUUUCAGCUGUUAAUCUACUCACAGAAAAGACUUUAUAAGGCAGCGUUAUCCUAAAAGCACAAUGUUUAGACCUAAAAGAGCCUCGCAUCAAUCUGUUUAUCCACACUGACACUGUUUACUGAGGACCUCGUGGAGAGAAAGACCCGGAAGGUUGAUAGCAAGCAGUGUGUUCAGCUGCAAAGGGAACCGGGAUAUUUGUGAAUAUUUCAAGCCCUGCUUUUAACGCUCUCAUUCGGUUUCUUUUAUUCUUUUGCCAAAUCUCUGCAUCAACGCAUCCUUCUCCUCCUCCUCUUCCUCCUCUUCCUCCUCCUCCUCCUCCUCUGUCUUUGGAUACGCUCGUCUCCUCCAGCGGGCUUCAUCUCCUCGCAGGCCGCUUGGAGUUGGCCACGUUGACAGAACGUCUCCUCCCGGAGGGAUACACAGGUUUUCAAGCUGGGACAGAGACCGAGGACACUUGAAUUAACAACCCUCCAUACGUGCACACACACACACACACACACACACGCACACACAUUUUUGUCCCAUACGCUCAUCACUAUUCAUCACUAGUCUUCUGCAUGUCCUUAAAAGCUGACAGGGGGGAUGGAGAGACACAGGAAGUGGGAGAAAGAAAGAAAAAUGAGGUGAACGGGGAGGACGAGGAAGGAUUAGAGAAAGUAAAUCCUUAAAGAUUUAAAGUCACAAGGAUUUUCAUGGUUUCUUGGUCCUGUGAUUAAUAUAUUUCUGUUUGAAGCAGCAGUACACGACGCAAAGGCUUCUUUCAUUUUCUGCUGCGGUCGUAAAUAUUGCUUCUUAGAAACAGAACUUUUUUUUUAACGAUGGCAGUCGGGGUCCUUUGGUCCAGAUAUUUCCACAGCUACAUUGGGAUGUUUUGACAGAAACGAUCAAAUAGACAUUCAUGGUCCUCAGAAGAUGAAUAAUAUUGGUGAUCCCCAACUUUUUCCUUCCUUUCAUCACGAAUCCUCAAAACAUAUCGAGAUCUACAAGCUGAAGAAGCCAAAGCAGCAUGUGCAGAUGUUCUGUGUACCUUCAGCGGCGUUUGAGCAAGUGAAAGAUGAACAUACUUUGCUUCUAGUAGCUCUAAACCCGACAUUUGAUAUGCUACUUUUGGGAGUAGGGAAUGUCCUAAAAACUAGUCUCCUUUUUUGACUGUGAUAAAAGAUUAAAUAAAAAACAUGCACACACAUGACAGUAAAUAGUGUCAAACUGAUGAGCGUGCAAUGUGCUUUCAUGUGCGACAGCAGGAAACCAUGAAACAUCGCGAAUGUCUAACAAGACGAACGAUUUAGUCUUGAUCAAUCGCAGACCCCCCCUUAUGAAAAUGAGGAUAACAAAAGCGAUCCUCUGAUCCUCAGCGUCGUCUUGGCGCUUCUCCAUCGCCGGGGACUAAACUGGAUUCUUCCUGUCGAUACGAACCCGCUCGACAGAGAAAUUAUCCCAAACGAGCCUCCAACGAAUCCUCAAAGCCGGUGGCUCAUUGAUUAUCAAUGCUCCAGAAAUCUCCCCUUUAAUGGAGAGCCGGUUGUUUGGCUCCUGGUUGUGGAAGACGAUCAGUUUGCUGCAAAAUAUUGAUCUAAUUACUCUGAUUCCCUUUGACUGUAAUUUCCCGUGUUCCAGAAGGGUGAAGCACGCCAAGGACUCGCUCAUUAAAUGAGUUACACCUUGCUUGCUGACGACAAUAAGCAUUGUUAUUUUGCAUUUUUGCAGGUAAAAUGUUGACAAGUUGUGCGCCUUCGGUUGGGUGCGAAGAUUCUGAUCUCAAAAUGAACAUUUUGAGGUGUGUUUCCCACUCAAUUGGGAUUCGGUGACUCGUCUGCGGCUCCGGGGCUCAGAGGAGCCUCCGUCUCUGUCAAAGCUUCCACCUCCACCAGCUUCUAUUUGUUCACCUGUUUUUUUCCCCACAGCUUCUCUGCUGCGUCUCCAGCAGCACUGCACCGCAACGCUUUAUUAUCUUCCAUCCUCCCAUGCAGCGAUGAACCUACAGGUAAGAAUAGAAGUGACAAUGUGCAAAUUAUAUUUCCUCCCGCGCGGGUAGAAAAGCAGAAAUACAACCAUCCCUUUUUGUUUUGCUCGAUUUCCUUCGCUGCACCACCUUUGCUGCAGUGCGGUUCGGAUUAUGAAUCAAUGAUGCCUUGCAGAAGCGUCCUGAUUGGAUCUAUAAAAGGUAAUGUCGCAUGCAGCUUGACUCGCGUGCGUCCACGGAUGCAGUUUGUGAACACGGACACCCUCGUGCACGCCAGCGUAUGCGGGCCACCAGGUGAAAGGAAACAUCCCCGAUAGUGGAGCGGAGGGCAGAGUGUGAACAAAAGGUCAUUACGGGGGGGCGGAGGGGGGGGUGUAUCUCAGGACAGUGGGCCGUUAUGUCGUUACACCGUAAAAAAAAACACUCAUUAUGUGGCGGUAAUGUCGGCCCCCCGGCGUCCCCGGCUCAACCCGAACACACAAAAUGGUGCCGCUAAACCAACACAGAGGGCUGUUUCCAUUUGCCGGCCGCAACAUGUGGUUCUUGGAAGUUGCUUAUUUUGUAGCUAAGAUGCUUGAAAGUACCGAGGGCGAGGGAACGGAGCGCAGGACCGUUUCAUCUCUGCUCAGUUUGGGUUUGCCUGGCCAGAGAUUUGGAGCCGAGAUACACAUGUGAGCUACAUUUCCUCUGGGUUUGCAUCUUUACUCUGGCUCUCGUCUCUCCAUCAAGGGAAUUAAAAAGGGGGGGUUUUUUUGGUCCGUUGUUGUUUGUGUUUCCAUUGAGACCUGAAGACCUGAGUGGAUUGUGCUUGUUGGAAUGCUUGACUUUGUUUUAAAUGUAAUCAAACGUAGAGAACCGCUCUCCGAUGCUACUAAAUCAACGCUCUCGUGCUUCCUUGUUCUGUGAUUGAAACGUGCACGGGGUUCGAGCAUUGAAACAAAUGUUGUACUUUCUCCUUCAUGGAAACUUUUUGUUUUGACCAAAGUCCACGAGGCCCCGAAAGGGUUCCGAGUCCUCGGGGAAAGUUCAUGUGGUUGAAAUUGUUGGGGGAGAAUUUGCUGAUCUGCAUAUUGAGUUUCUCAACAUGCACCACAGAAAUGAGGCUUUUAUUAAUUAGUGGGUUAAAGCGGGUUCAUCAGAAGCCCUUUUGGGGUUGAAAGCAGCGGCCGGUUGCUGCUGGAAACCAGCGUGAUGCUGAGACCAGUAAACACCCCGUAAGCGUGUAAAGGAGUCGAGAUGUUUUAUACGCACAUCCAGUGUGUUUGGAUGCGACUUCCUACGACCUAAUUCCUUUGAUUUAGAAAAUAAUUGCUCACAGUACGUAGACAAGUCUCAACCCGAGAGCAGCAGCCCUGGCAUGUAACCAGCGGACAUGUUUAUUCCCCCCGCAGUUACAACGACAAAUUGCAGCAUUUACGAGAUUCCGACACAUCAACACAUUUCACUAAACGUCUCCCUCGUGCACCUUUACUCUGCUUCCCUAUAAGUCCCCACGUCAAUCACGCCGCUCACCACCACCACCCUCCUCCUCAGGCAUCUCUCGCCCGUCUCACGCCCUCCACCCUCCAGCGGCCUUUCUGAGCUGAAGUCAAUACGAUCGAUGCGGAUACGGACUGUGGCCACUUGCCUCCCGGCUGCUGUCGAUCCAGCUGAUUGUCGCACGCGCAGAAAGGACGACAGCCUCCGUUGUGUUGCAGACACGCGGGCCGGCCAACGCUUGGAAGGUUUCACCGUUUGCUGGAAAUUCAUGAGAUUAUUUUCUCCGUGACCUUAAAUUCCAAAUGAUGGGCAAAAUGAGGACGACUCCUGCAUCACAGCGGUGAGCCUCUGCUGCUUGCAUUGAGUAGACGUGAGACUUGAGUUUGAACAUUUCACUCUAGAGUUCAAUGAACCACGAAUGGCAUCAACAACCGUCUGCGUGUCUUCCGUUUUAUUUUGACUCGUUUGCGACAAACGCUGCGUCUCCUCUCUGAGCCUCAGAUGAAAUCCUCUCAGCGCUGUCGAUGUUUAAGCGUCACAUAAUGACGGCGAUUACUCGAGAGGCACAGACCCGGUCUCCACGUGGCCCGAGCACAGCGCUCCUCAAUUUUCGGUGCUCCGCGUGCGGCCUUGUGGGGAACCUUUUUCCGCGUUCUCUCCUGGGAGCCGUGAUGGUUGCUUUUAUAAACCCAUCGGCUAUUUGUGCCUCUGCAUUUGAGAAAUCGUUUGGCUCUGUUGGUAAGACCAAAUAAGUGCUUUAUGAGCAAGUGAUCUCCUGCAGGUAAACCGUUGAAGUCACAUCGAUCCACUACAUACUUCUCUGCUGAUGAGCUCUUCCCUCCGUGAAUCUUCUGUCCCUCACUCGGCCUUUCCACAUAACAUUGGACAGACCUGCUGCGUGUGUGUGUGUUAUGAGUGGAUCAUAUAUGUUUUCCCUGCCAGCCCAGCCUCUUUGUUUCCCUUCAGUUUACAGGCCGCGGGGUCUGAUCCAGCAAACACGCCGCUUCUUGCCAAAACCAGCGAAGGUGAGAUUUCUACCCGAGUGUAAUGCAGAGUUUCAGAAUAAAAUCCAAAGAACACACAAAGCUGUUUGGAGGGUUGAGGGGCCGCAGAGGAAGGCAGGGGCCCCACAAGGAGCUCACUCCAAGUUCUGGACGGCUUGUUUCAUUUUGGCCGGUCAGGUUGUGUAACAGUGGGAAGAGAAAUGCAUUUUAUUGCUGACCUCUUGACCCGACUUAGGAUGCCUUCCUACUCUCAUGGAACCUUUGUAAUUACUGGAGUCAUCGAAAUGUUGAGAAAUGUUUGGAAAAAUUCACAUAUUAUCCCCACAAUCACAAUGGCAGCGCUCACCAAUCGACUGUUUCUAAUUUUACCUUUCACAAUAAAAGCCCAAGACAUGCACUGCAUCACUGCUCACAGGGAGGAACAUUCAUUGACCCACAUUUUAACCUGAAGCAGCUCUACAAAAGCAGUAAAAUUAAUGUUUGUAUGAUUAUGAUCCAACGAGGGACGUUGAUCUGAACAUUUAAAUUCAAGCAGCAAUUUUAGGAAAUUAUUUUAGCCACUGUCCAUUGUCUGUUUGGGUCUCUUGUAACCCAAAUAUCCGAAUGUUGUCUGACCUGUCGAUCAUAAAGUCAUUGCUUAACAGAUGUUUAGUGGCGUCCACACAUCUCAGUAGUUGGGUUUAUUCAUUAGGUCAUGAA
Long non-coding RNA from Gasterosteus aculeatus aculeatus (three-spined stickleback), 9696 nucleotides. The record is from Ensembl. Lineage: Eukaryota; Metazoa; Chordata; Actinopteri; Perciformes; Gasterosteidae.